RNAcentral lists this small RNA (656 nucleotides) under Pongo abelii (Sumatran orangutan). RNAcentral describes it as "retained intron". Lineage: Eukaryota; Metazoa; Chordata; Mammalia; Primates; Hominidae. The record is from RNAcentral.
GCGGUGACAGAGUGAGACCCUGUCUCAAAAAAAAAAAAAGAAAAGAAAAGGAAAAAAACAGUGGAGCCCUUCUGAGCUCUUUCUACCCAGCUCCCUCUGCCGGGUGGCCUGGAGGGCUCCUGGGGGAUCUGUGGUUUGCUGCUGAGCCUGUUGUCUGCUCAUCUCCUCAGGUGUGUGGUUGUGUUGUUCAAUCCCCGGAAACACAAACAGCACCACAUCCUCAACAGUUCCAGGAAAACCAUCACUGCCCUUGCCUUCUCCCCUGAUGGCAAGUACUUGGUCACUGGAGAGAGUGGGCACAUGCCUGCCGUGCGGGUUUGGGACGUGGCAGAGCACAGCCAGGUGGCCGAGCUGCAGGAGCACAAGUAUGGUGUGGCUUGUGUGGCCUUCUCUCCUAGCGCCAAGUACAUUGUCUCUGUGGGCUACCAGCAUGACAUGAUCGUCAACGUGUGGGCCUGGAAGAAAAACAUUGUGGUGGCCUCCAACAAGGUGUCCAGUCGGGUGACAGCAGUGUCCUUCUCUGAGGAUUGCAGCUACUUUGUCACUGCAGGCAACCGGCACAUCAAAUUCUGGUAUCUUGAUGACAGCAAGACCUCAAAGGUGAGGUGCUGAAGCUGGGAGUAGCCACCAAGGCCCUUGGCAGGGCCUGCCCAGCC